UACAGUCGUUUUUUCAUAUUAUCCAUUUAUUAAAUUUAGAGUUAACUAUUAUAAUUAUUCUGAUAAAGCAUUGAUUCUUUUGUUUUAAAUUCGCUAUGCACUAACUGCAUUUGUGUUUGUUUCUUCUGUCAGGAAUUAAGAAUCUGAAAUUAUUAUAUCAAGAAAUCUUUAGACUUAAAACAAAAUGCAUGGCUUUCGGUCUGAAUUGACACACGAUCUAGUCCAUUACAAGAGUACAGCACCGGACAAUAGUGGAAGACGAGACAUAUCGAGAAAGUAUAUUUUUCUUUCUUUUUAAGGGCAUUGUUUUGUUGGCUGAA
Molecule: long non-coding RNA, 320 nt
Organism: Arabidopsis thaliana (thale cress)
Lineage: Eukaryota; Viridiplantae; Streptophyta; Magnoliopsida; Brassicales; Brassicaceae
Product: other RNA
Exons: 1
Source: RefSeq